Molecule: small RNA, 127 nt
Filed under: Marmota monax (woodchuck)
Lineage: Eukaryota; Metazoa; Chordata; Mammalia; Rodentia; Sciuridae
Source: RNAcentral
GCCAGGCAUGGUAGUGCAUGCCUGUAAUCCCAGCAACUUUGGAAACUGAGGCAGGAGGAUCGCAAGUUCAAAGCCAGCCUUAGCAACUUCACAAUGCCCUAAGCAACUUAGCAAGACCCUGUCUCAA